This is a ribosomal RNA of Danio rerio (zebrafish), 131 nucleotides long. Lineage: Eukaryota; Metazoa; Chordata; Actinopteri; Cypriniformes; Danionidae. The record is from Ensembl.
UCAAGUAGCUAUGCCCUUAAUUAGCUAGCUCUCUGCAACUCUCACAUGGUCGCCCACUGAAGCUAAGCAGGGCUGCGCCAGGUCAGUACCUGCAUGGGAGACCACAUGGGAAAGCUAAGUUGCUGCUGGAA